This is a long non-coding RNA of Cornus florida, 8216 nucleotides long. RefSeq lists it as uncharacterized. NCBI's taxonomy places the organism in Eukaryota, Viridiplantae, Streptophyta, Magnoliopsida, Cornales, Cornaceae. The record is from RefSeq and is a predicted model, not a curated record. The transcript has 2 exons.
UCAAAAGUUUUAAAAUACCAAUUUCUGAAUUCUUUAUAUUGAUCCUGUUGAAAUUCAGUAUUAAUGGCCAUUCUAUCUGGGGAAAAAUCCAUUAAAACUAAUAUUCAUGAGGGUCAUUGAUGUCUGUAGGAUCGUCAAAUUGAUCCUUGACAGAUUCAUUUCCGAUUCCCAUUUCAGAUGGAGUUGGGCUGAAUUUAAUUCCAAAUUGACGACGAGACAUACCUAUUGGUGCUUUCUCGUAGACUCCUCUUGGAAUUUGAUUCUGAGACUGCUGUAUUCCUUUCAGCUUGAGUUGAUUUGGACCAACGACUUCAGGGAUUUCUUCCUUUCUGUAAUCCGACGAAAUCGAAUGGCGAGAAGGAGGACAAGAAACAUGAUAAGGAAGAUGACUUCCUUUAGAUGAUGUAGAUCUAGGUAGAUCUAAUGAUUUUCUGAAAUUCAGAAAAACAUCGCCAUCUUGGUCCUGAAUAACACAGUCUAAGCUAUGAUUAGCAAUUGGCUGUGCUGGAAUGGCAUUAGAAAUCGUCCAAUGUUCAGGAAAUGUUAUCUCACUCCAAGGAAUCAUCCUUUUUGUGGCAACAUUUGAUGUGUACAUGUUGGUAUCCCAUAACGCUGUUACUCCUUUAGAGUCUUUGCGUAUGGCAUUAGGACACUUAGUAUCAAGUACUUUGUAAUGGAUGCGAUAAAUAACACUUAUCACUUCUGAUCCAGGUAAGUAAUCAUACCCAUAGGUCUGAACACGAAGACUAAUUGCCUCAUGGAUGUUUUUAUCUGUUAAAGAUAAAUUCAGACUAGGAUAGACAUUAAAAUAAACCGGUCCAUGACAUAGACUGGUUUCCAGUGCACCCAUCAAGGAAGGGUGAAAUUUCAGACAUCGAGCAUCCCUAAGGGUUGCUUGAAUACAAGCAUCCAUACCUAAUAAGGUUAAAGGUUUAAAAGCAAUUUGAAUUAAACCUAUAUGGAUGUACUUAUAUUUGUGCAUGUGCCUCUGAAGGUCACAGAAAGACAAUAACUUAAUUAUUGUAUCUUUUGUGCUUAAUUGCAUGGUCUGUUCCAUGGUCUUGACAGUCCAUAGAUCUGUUAAAUUAAGCAUUCCGAUUUUGUAAAUGCUCUUAGCACUUACUGGAGGGAUAGUCCAUCUGUUCAAUUUAUUUUGAACAUUGGUCCAUUCCACUAAUUCAGUAUUUUUUACCAAUUCGGAAUCCUGGUUUUCCUGUACUCCAUAAGAGGAGGAGGAUGGUUUUAACAUGUCUGUUAAAUAUUGUUAAUGCUUUAAGGUCUGCUUAGUAUAAAUAUUAUAAUAUUAUAUAAUGAACAGUAAGUUACUAUUCUGUCGUCGUUCUGCUUAAGGGUGAUUCAAUUACUCGUCUGUCAACGAUUUACUGGAAACAGUACCCUGUGCAGCAAUCUAAUGCAAAAACGGGUUAAACAUUCCAACGCGACUUUUGGACGACCCAUAAUUGAAUCAGAUUUAAACAUAAGUUAGACAGAAUAAUAUUCAUAUUGUUCAUGACAUAAUUACUAUAGUAAUCAUGCUACCAGAACCUAAAAAGCAUUAACAAUAAUAAAUUAAGCCAUCAUGGCUCUGAUACCAAAUAAAGUUGAGGAUCGGCAACAUGUUCCAAAUCAGGGCCAAAUAUAGCCCACCAGGGUAUAACCCAGUUUGGGAAAUCAGCCUUAACUGAUUGAGGGCAUAUCUUGAAGAACCAAGAAUGUUUAUGCUUCGGAUUUUGAUAAAAGAACGAAUAUGUCCAAGCUGAGAUAUAAUCCCAAUUAUUGUAACUGUGACCAUAGGAUAUUUUCCUUGGCAAAUUGGGAUUUAAUCCCCAGUCACUAGGCUGUAUAAGCCUCUUAAAGAUAGCUUUACUAUAAGUAAGAGGACUAUCUUUGGAAUUCGGAAAUUGCUUCGUGUGGUUGAUCUCCACAGAGGAAGUUUCAGUAAGAAUGGCUUCAUAGAUAUAUCUAUAGCGACCAUCCGGUGCAACAUAUUGUUGAGUUUGGAAAUAUCUGGAUUUUACUUCCCAAGGAUCUGGCAUCCAUUGCUCAUCUUGAGAAUCCAGUACCAAUACUGUUUGAAUAUACCUUUGAUUAGGUAUCCUUGGAGUUUCUUGUUCAAGAACCUCUUUCAUGGUUGGUUUCUGUUGUAUUCAAGCAACCAGAAUGAUUUUCUCAAACCAUGGACCACAUCGAUCGGCAACAUGUUCCAAAUAUGAAAAUUGAUCAUCAUUGAGUGGUAUAACACUACUGGUAGUUUUCGGUGGGUUGGCAUGAUUGUCAUCCAGUAGAGUGAGAAAAUGAAAGUUUUAGUCAGAAAAGUUGAAAGAGAUAAAAGGAAGAGGGGCAAUAAUGGAAAGCACUUUAGAAAAAGUUAGAAAAAGAGAGAGAAAGGUGUUGGCAAUUAAAUGAUAGAAAGCACUUUAAAAAAAGUAGUCCCUUGAUGCAAUCUUCCGGUGAUAGUAGUCCCUAGAUGCAAUCUUCCAUCACCGGCUAGAUUUCAUCAUCAUUUUCCAUAGCAUAUUUGAUCUUCAUCUGCUGCUUUGAGUUUUAUGUGUGUUUCUGAUCUAUCUCUGUUUCUAAAUCUUUCUCUAAAUUUUAGAAUAGCUUUUAAUGAUAGAAAAGCUUUUCAAUCUAUUUGGCAAAAUAUUUACGGAAGAUCUUUUAUUAUUGAAAUAAUUAAUUUGCCCUUAGAUAAAGUAUUUUUUAAAAUUAUCAUUUAACCUGUUUUUUUGUAACUUUUUCUCUAAAUUCGUAUAAAUAAACCACUCAAUAGAAUCAAGUAUAUCCACAACAUGCCAUAUACAACAUUAUAAUUAAUAAUACUAAUAAUUACAAUAAGAAUAACAAUUAAGAGAUUGCAAAAACCUAUUUAAUGGUUUAGAAAAUUUUGUCAUUGAACAUUUUGAUUCUACUAAAAUAUAAUAAUAAGAAUAAUAAAAUAUUGAAGGUUUUUAUUUUUUCUUCAAAAAAGAAAAUAAUUAAUCUCAUGCUUUUAGACAUUCCUAGAAUAAUAUUGUUGUUUCCUUAUAAUAACAAACAAAAUUAUAUUGCAAGGAAAUUAAUGAAAAAGAAGAAGCAAAAAUAUUGCUAUGGUAAAUUAUUUGUUUUUUUAAAAGAUUGACUUGGCAACUUUAAUGUUCCAAUUUUACCCAAAAAAAAAAACAAAAAAAAAAAAAACAACUUUGACGUUCCUAUGGGGUUGAUGAUGAAACAAAUAUUAGGCUGUUAGGCAAUACAGGGAAGAGCUAUGCAGAUGAAUUAAUCUGAUUAAAAAAAAAUGCUAUGCCCGUGAAUUAAUCUGAUAAAAAAAAACUUUAUCUUUUGGAUAAAUAACUAGAAUUCAUUGUUGCAACAAAAGAGAAUUCAAUUUGAAUGUGAAAAAAAAGAUUUAAAGAUUUGUGAUGGUAGGAUGGCACGUUGAAAUAUGGUGAUUGUUUGUGGGGCAGUUUCGAAAAUAUUUAGAGAAAAUAAAAAGUAAAUAAACAUGAAGAAAUAGGCAAAGAAGAAAUAGGAAGGUCGAAUUAUAAAUUGGAAGUAUAGCCCUGCUUCUCUUGUUUAGUGGGACGCUUAGAAUUCUGCAAUUUAAUGAGUUAUUAGAACUUGAACAAUAAAGAAAGAAUAGCCCCCAACAAUAAUCUUUUUCAAUUUUUUUCUUCAAUUUUUUUUUUCUCUAGUUAAAUGUUUGAUGGAUCGUUCUUGUGAGUAUGAAGAGAUAUAUUGCCAGAGAAUACCUAUGUGAGUUUUUUUUUUUUGACACAUGCAAAAAGUUUGAAACCUUCCCCUCUAUCACCUCUGUUCAUCUUGUCUUCUCACUCUCAAAUUGCGACUCGAUAAAUUGCAUCUAUAAUGAUAAGUUGUAGAUUUCUUAAACAUUAAAGAGAGGCCUGGUCUUCUACCAUAAAGAGAGACACAAAAAGAAAAAGUGCAAGCGACAGCAGAUGCAGGCGAAGAGGCCUUGCAGAAGAUGGUAAUCCAUUCUGAUUAGGGUUUGGAAAUAGAAAUAAGGGGAUUUUUUUUUUUUUUUUUUUUUUUUUUUUUUUUUACUACAGGGAUACAGUUGAAAUUAUAUUUUUUUAUGAGAUAGUAUAAAGGGUACACUUGUCAUAUAAAAAGUUUUAUUAAUGCACCCAAAACUCUUCCCUAGUAUUUUAGAAGGCCAGCUUCUCCAAAAUGCUCUUCUAAACCCCCAAAUGCUCUUUUUGAAAACUAGCCAAAUACAGUACUACCCAAAGCAGUUUCCAAGCCUUAAAAACCAAAAACAGCGGUAUGAAAAGUCAAUCCAAAUAGGCCCCUUAAUGAAUAGCACCAAAAAAAAAUUUAAAUAAAAAAUUUUAAAUGAUCUUUUUUAACUAGUUAUUUUAUUAUUUUUUUAAUCUUUUAACAUUUUCUUAUCAAUUUAUUAGAUGAUUUUUUUAUAUAUAUAUAUUUCUAAAUGCACGGUUUGUAAUAUAUUAAUUUUUUAAGUUCGGGAGAAUUAAGAUUUAAAUAAAAGGGGGCAUUUUGGUCUAAAUAUCAACUCUUUUACUGUUUUACACCCUUCGGAUAGUUGAGGACAAUUCUUUUGUAAAAAAAUAGAUAAAGGGGGAUUUAUUGAAAAAAAAAGGCUACAAGUUGAGGGAAUUUUUUGGUAAAAAAAUAGAUAAGAGAAAUUUAUUGAAAAAUGGUACAAGUAAAUGGGGUUUUCUGUACUUUGCCCUUUUUCAAAACCACCUUUACUAUUUUUUAUUAGAUUUAUGAAACAUAAAUGAUGAUGUAAAAUUGAAAUAAACAAUCAAAAUUUUAUUAAUUGAACCGAUCGGUACUUCAUUCAUUAGCAGUAUACGGAGUAUUAUCUUAUUGCCAUUCUCAAUAUUUAAUUUUUUUCAAAUUUUUUUUUGUAAGAAUUUAUAAUUUCUUUUAAUUUAGAAAAAUUUACUAACGGUCUAUUUUUUCUUUUUUACAAGCGUACUGUUAGGAUUAAAAACUUUAAAAAGAAAUAAUGAUCUCAAAGUUUACUUUCAAUUAAUAAUAAUAAUAAAUCAUUUUUAUUUAGAUUAUUAUGCGUUCGUUGAGUAUGGUAUUAGUAAUAUAGUAUCAUGAAGUAAAAUUGAAAAAUAAUCAAAAUUUGAUUAAUUGGACUUAUCAAAAACAUUGCUUCAUUCAUCAGCCUAAUAUUGUUGUACAAUCAUUUCCAAUAUUUCAUUUUUAAAAUUUUUUUUUAUUGAAACUCUCUUAUGUUGAAGUUACCUUUCAAAUUAAUAUAGCAACUCUAUAUUUAUGAAGAUAAAGUAUUAAUUUUACAAACCUUAAAUUUAAAGUUCUUCACUUUAUUCAUUUAAUCUACUAUAUUAAUAUGUUUUUUAUGAGUUAAGUUUAAAGUUUUAUUAAAUACUUAUCUAAUGUCUUCUAAAUAUAUUAGUAUAAAUAGUAGACUUACGAAGCUUACACACAGACACACUCUCAAAACUCAAGAGAGAGGAGAUUUAAAGUGUUUUUUCAAACUAUUGAAUUUGAGUGUGUGGAUUUCAUAUUUUCAAUUGAUUAAACUGAGAUAAAUAAGUACAACAUUCAUAAAUAUACAGAUUUGAGAUAUAGACUUAGUUAAAUCUUGGAGAUAGUAUUGUUAUUUAUUUUCACGUAAAAAAGAUUUCAACCUGAAAAAGUAAUUGCGCACUUCUAAACUUUGAUACUCACUAUUUUAAUAUAUUGAUUCCUAAACAUAGAUGGACACAUUACUUUGAAUAUAAAUAUCACAUAGUAGUAGUAUUUAAUACACAGUUUAAAAGGUUAUCCAUUUUAUUAUAUUUUUUCAGAAGGUAAAAUAAACAAAUGCACGUUCAUACAUUGUCCAAUGGGUGCUAGCAUGGUACAGAGCCUGUUUUCUCAUGAAUGUCAAUGGUGUAGUAUUUAAUGUAUUGAAGUUUUAUAUCUAGAGGACUAUUGAACGGUGAACCUAUUUAAACCAUUCCUUUUUUACAACGACUUCUAUUUAAGUUUAAACAAAUUAUAUUUGGAUAGAACAAUAUUACUUUUGACAUUAUUAAAAAAUAUGAAAUGUUUUUUAUACUCUUAUUUAAUUUAAUAAUAGUAACGCUGUAUAAUUUGAAUUCACUCAAAACGGGAUGGUGUGAGCGUGCAUGCCUGUGUGCGCGUUGUGAACCACUAGAAAAAGUUGAAAGACGACACUAUUCAUCCAGCAGUUUGAGAAAAUGAAAGUUUUAGUCAGAAAAGUUGAAAGCUAUAAAAGGAGAGGCAAUAAUAGAAUAGUAAUGCUUGCAUACUGGCAGGAGGAUGAAGUUCAUCUUUCAGCCAGUCAGGUGAAGUAACCUGAUUCAGCUGUUCUUCUCCACCACAAAUCUACCCACAAUAAAACAAACCAAACACACACCAAAGCUCCAAGCUUAGCACCCAUUAUCUUUUUUCUCUCAACUGACUGAAAGAAAAUGAACCAGGUCAGACGAUCAAAAAUCAAAUCCAACGUCUUUUUCUCUAGAAACCAGUAAUUCUAAACUAUGAUGAUCAUAUAUAUAUAUAAAGAUCAGAUUUUUGCUCCUUAUCUUUUCUGGGUUUUUAGCUGAAUUUAAACAGGGUUAAAAGGAAAGAGUUUUGGGUGUUUGGAAGAAAAUCUACGAGGAAAAGAAAAGAUGGUUGAAGAAUUGUAAAAGACUAUAGAUGCGUUUAUGACCAAGCAAAGACUUUGAACUGAUUUGGGUCUUCUUCGAUAGAGUUAGUUAUGGAUUGGGAUUGAGAUUGAGGCGGCGAGGAAGACAACGGCAGCGGGACAGCAGGAGGAGGAGGAAUAAUCGGAUGAUAUUGAGGGGGAGUUGGGAUGGUAUUUUCUAGUGUUUUGAAGGAUUUGGGUUCUGUAAUUUAGGGCAUUGAAAUGGGGAUGGUGUUGCUACCUCUGCCGUCAGUGGUGGUGAUGCUGCCGCCCUUUGGUGGUGGUGCCACUGCGGCGGCGGCCGAUUGUGGGGAGGUCGAUCCAGAAGCAGGAAACAAGGAGAGAGAGAGAGAGAGUUGUGACCACGGUGUUCCUGCUGUGCAUUUUUCAAUCAUUUCUUUAGGUCAGAAAUUUCUUAAUUUCCUAGAAUCAUCUAAAUUUGAUUACUCAAUUCAAAAAUCUUGCCAUCUUUUUAAAAACUAGUCACGAACUUAGAGAAGAUGGAAACAAUGAGAGAGAUUAAGAGGUGCUAGAGAGAGAAAGUUGAACGAGUGUUCUUGCUGUUCAUAUUUUGACAAAUACAAAAUUUGUUUGUUCUAAACGAGUUUGUUGGGCAGUAGAGAUUAGAUAGUGUCAAGGAGAAACAUGUUAAACCCGAAAAAAAAAUGGGCAUUGCCCGUAUUAAUAUCAUUUUUUGUUGGGGACGAGUGUCAAAAUAUUAGAAGGCCACGGAUGAAAGCAUUACUCAUACUAGAAACCACUGAUAGAAAGCACUUUUAAAAAAAAAAGUAGUAACUAGCUGCAAUCUUCCUUCACAGCCAGAUUUUCCAUAGCAUAUUCUUCUUCUGCUGCGUUGAGUUUUGUGUGUGUUUGUAAUCCAUCUCCGGUUUAAAUCCAGACUUGGUUUCUACAAAUUUUUAAGCUUAUUAGAGAUACGAAAAUUGUUAUUUUUAAGGUUAGAAAAACUGAUUAAACCUUAACAACAAACUUAAUCGAAUGUCAUUAGUAAAACAUAUAUAUAUAUAUAUUUAUAUAUUUAUAAAAUUAAAUAAUAUAAUAUUGGUAUGAAAAUCGAUACUUUGCAUUUUAGUGGCAUUUAAUGAUAUUUUUGUCAUUUCAUAUCAAAAUAUAAAGUUAUUCAAGUCUUUAAAUACAAUAAACGACAGUUUAAUUAUUUUUUAAAUUUUAAUUAAUAAUAAGAGAUGUCGUUAAAGCACACACCUCAAAGCAGUAACUAGAUGCAAUCUUCCUUCACAGCCAGAUUUCAUCGUCAUUUUCCAUAGCACAUUCGAUCUUCAUCUGCUGCGUUGAGUUUUGUGGUGUAAAAUCACAGUUAGAGUCCAACGAUUGCAUAAUAAAAAGGCUCAUCACCAGGGUAUUAAUUUUUCCGUUACUUUUCAAUCAUUAUUGAAAUAGAGUCCAUAACAAAAAUCAAUCAUCAUUGAAUACACUUUACAACAAAAAUUUUAUUUCUAUUUCGGAUAAAAAUAUAAACACAGAACAAAACAAUUAUCAGUCAGGUCCUUCAUGUAACACUAAUUAAUUAAUUUAUAUAUAUAUAUAUAUAUAUAUAUAUAUA